This 2903-nucleotide ribosomal RNA is filed under the name Escherichia coli. RNAcentral's name for it is "bacterial LSU rRNA". It matches the Rfam family "Bacterial large subunit ribosomal RNA". The record is from RNAcentral. Lineage: Bacteria; Pseudomonadati; Pseudomonadota; Gammaproteobacteria; Enterobacterales; Enterobacteriaceae.
UUAAGCGACUAAGCGUACACGGUGGAUGCCCUGGCAGUCAGAGGCGAUGAAGGACGUGCUAAUCUGCGAUAAGCGUCGGUAAGGUGAUAUGAACCGUUAUAACCGGCGAUUUCCGAAUGGGGAAACCCAGUGUGUUUCGACACACUAUCAUUAACUGAAUCCAUAGGUUAAUGAGGCGAACCGGGGGAACUGAAACAUCUAAGUACCCCGAGGAAAAGAAAUCAACCGAGAUUCCCCCAGUAGCGGCGAGCGAACGGGGAGCAGCCCAGAGCCUGAAUCAGUAUGUGUGUUAGUGGAAGCGUCUGGAAAGGCGCGCGAUACAGGGUGACAGCCCCGUACACAAAAAUGCACAUGCUGUGAGCUCGAUGAGUAGGGCGGGACACGUGGUAUCCUGUCUGAAUAUGGGGGGACCAUCCUCCAAGGCUAAAUACUCCUGACUGACCGAUAGUGAACCAGUACCGUGAGGGAAAGGCGAAAAGAACCCCGGCGAGGGGAGUGAAAAAGAACCUGAAACCGUGUACGUACAAGCAGUGGGAGCACGCUUAGGCGUGUGACUGCGUACCUUUUGUAUAAUGGGUCAGCGACUUAUAUUCUGUAGCAAGGUUAACCGAAUAGGGGAGCCGAAGGGAAACCGAGUCUUAACUGGGCGUUAAGUUGCAGGGUAUAGACCCGAAACCCGGUGAUCUAGCCAUGGGCAGGUUGAAGGUUGGGUAACACUAACUGGAGGACCGAACCGACUAAUGUUGAAAAAUUAGCGGAUGACUUGUGGCUGGGGGUGAAAGGCCAAUCAAACCGGGAGAUAGCUGGUUCUCCCCGAAAGCUAUUUAGGUAGCGCCUCGUGAAUUCAUCUCCGGGGGUAGAGCACUGUUUCGGCAAGGGGGUCAUCCCGACUUACCAACCCGAUGCAAACUGCGAAUACCGGAGAAUGUUAUCACGGGAGACACACGGCGGGUGCUAACGUCCGUCGUGAAGAGGGAAACAACCCAGACCGCCAGCUAAGGUCCCAAAGUCAUGGUUAAGUGGGAAACGAUGUGGGAAGGCCCAGACAGCCAGGAUGUUGGCUUAGAAGCAGCCAUCAUUUAAAGAAAGCGUAAUAGCUCACUGGUCGAGUCGGCCUGCGCGGAAGAUGUAACGGGGCUAAACCAUGCACCGAAGCUGCGGCAGCGACGCUGAUGCGUUGUUGGGUAGGGGAGCGUUCUGUAAGCCUGCGAAGGUGUGCUGUGAGGCAUGCUGGAGGUAUCAGAAGUGCGAAUGCUGACAUAAGUAACGAUAAAGCGGGUGAAAAGCCCGCUCGCUGGAAGACCAAGGGUUCCUGUCCAACGUUAAUCGGGGCAGGGUGAGUCGACCCCUAAGGCGAGGCCGAAAGGCGUAGUCGAUGGGAAACAGGUUAAUAUUCCUGUACUUGGUGUUACUGCGAAGGGGGGACGGAGAAGGCUAUGUUGGCCGGGCGACGGUUGUCCCGGUUUAAGCGUGUAGGCUGGUUUUCCAGGCAAAUCCGGAAAAUCAAGGCUGAGGCGUGAUGACGAGGCACUACGGUGCUGAAGCAACAAAUGCCCUGCUUCCAGGAAAAGCCUCUAAGCAUCAGGUAACAUCAAAUCGUACCCCAAACCGACACAGGUGGUCAGGUAGAGAAUACCAAGGCGCUUGAGAGAACUCGGGUGAAGGAACUAGGCAAAAUGGUGCCGUAACUUCGGGAGAAGGCACGCUGAUAUGUAGGUGAGGUCCCUCGCGGAUGGAGCUGAAAUCAGUCGAAGAUACCAGCUGGCUGCAACUGUUUAUUAAAAACACAGCACUGUGCAAACACGAAAGUGGACGUAUACGGUGUGACGCCUGCCCGGUGCCGGAAGGUUAAUUGAUGGGGUUAGCGCAAGCGAAAGCUCUUGAUCGAAGCCCCGGUAAACGGCGGCCGUAACUAUAACGGUCCUAAGGUAGCGAAAUUCCUUGUCGGGUAAGUUCCGACCUGCACGAAUGGCGUAAUGAUGGCCAGGCUGUCUCCACCCGAGACUCAGUGAAAUUGAACUCGCUGUGAAGAUGCAGUGUACCCGCGGCAAGACGGAAAGACCCCGUGAACCUUUACUAUAGCUUGACACUGAACAUUGAGCCUUGAUGUGUAGGAUAGGUGGGAGGCUUUGAAGUGUGGACGCCAGUCUGCAUGGAGCCGACCUUGAAAUACCACCCUUUAAUGUUUGAUGUUCUAACGUUGACCCGUAAUCCGGGUUGCGGACAGUGUCUGGUGGGUAGUUUGACUGGGGCGGUCUCCUCCUAAAGAGUAACGGAGGAGCACGAAGGUUGGCUAAUCCUGGUCGGACAUCAGGAGGUUAGUGCAAUGGCAUAAGCCAGCUUGACUGCGAGCGUGACGGCGCGAGCAGGUGCGAAAGCAGGUCAUAGUGAUCCGGUGGUUCUGAAUGGAAGGGCCAUCGCUCAACGGAUAAAAGGUACUCCGGGGAUAACAGGCUGAUACCGCCCAAGAGUUCAUAUCGACGGCGGUGUUUGGCACCUCGAUGUCGGCUCAUCACAUCCUGGGGCUGAAGUAGGUCCCAAGGGUAUGGCUGUUCGCCAUUUAAAGUGGUACGCGAGCUGGGUUUAGAACGUCGUGAGACAGUUCGGUCCCUAUCUGCCGUGGGCGCUGGAGAACUGAGGGGGGCUGCUCCUAGUACGAGAGGACCGGAGUGGACGCAUCACUGGUGUUCGGGUUGUCAUGCCAAUGGCACUGCCCGGUAGCUAAAUGCGGAAGAGAUAAGUGCUGAAAGCAUCUAAGCACGAAACUUGCCCCGAGAUGAGUUCUCCCUGACUCCUUGAGAGUCCUGAAGGAACGUUGAAGACGACGACGUUGAUAGGCCGGGUGUGUAAGCGCAGCGAUGCGUUGAGCUAACCGGUACUAAUGAACCGUGAGGCUUAACCUU